GUGCUCUCUUCUGCAGCACAUAUACUAAAAUUGGAAUGAUACAGAGAAGAUUAGCAUGGCUCCAAAUUCAUGAAACGUUCCCUAUUUAAAAAAAAAAUGUUAUC
Myotis lucifugus (little brown bat) is the source of this 104-nucleotide non-coding RNA. NCBI's taxonomy places the organism in Eukaryota, Metazoa, Chordata, Mammalia, Chiroptera, Vespertilionidae. The record is from Rfam.